ACUCGCCGAGAGGUGGUGCAUGGCCGCCGUCAGCUCGUAUCGUGAGACGUCCUGUCAAGUCAGGUAACGAGCGAGACCCUUGCUCCUAGUUGCCAGCAGGUGCCUUCGGGCACGAUGGGCUACUCUAGGAGGACCGCUGUCGAUAAGACAGAGGAAGGAGAGGGCGACGGUAGGUCCGUAUGCCCCGAAUCUCCCGGGCAACACGCGGGCUACAAUGCGUGGGGCAGAGGGCUGCAACCCCGAGAGGGGAAGCCAAUCCCUAAACCCACGCCUAGUUCGGAUCGAGGGCUGAAACCCGCCCUCGUGAAGCUGGAAUCCCUAGUAAUCGUGUGUCAUUAUCGCGCGGUG
Molecule: ribosomal RNA, 348 nt
Filed under: uncultured candidate division MSBL1 archaeon
Lineage: Archaea; Methanobacteriati; Methanobacteriota
Description: bacterial SSU rRNA
Rfam family: Archaeal small subunit ribosomal RNA
Source: RNAcentral